Pelobates cultripes (western spadefoot toad) is the source of this 240-nucleotide non-coding RNA. The record is from the annotation of a GenBank genome assembly. Lineage: Eukaryota; Metazoa; Chordata; Amphibia; Anura; Pelobatidae.
AUGUAACCCUGCCCAGAAUUUUUGUGGCUGUCCAAUCACACUCUUUCCAAAAGAGCUCAAUGAGAAGUCUUUGCAAGCAGGAGCUCUGCACAAUUGCUGCCUCUUGAGUUUAGCUCCACUGAGCUAACCAAACCAGGAAGUAACAGAACUUUAAAGCCAGAGGGUGUAACCAGGUUGAUUUAUAAAAGUGUAAAAACCUGCAAUUUUUGCACAAAAAAAAAGAGGACACAGUAUUCACAC